UACCAAAAGUAAUAAUGUGCUG
Molecule: microRNA, 22 nt
Filed under: Rattus norvegicus (Norway rat)
Lineage: Eukaryota; Metazoa; Chordata; Mammalia; Rodentia; Muridae
Description: rno-miR-126b
Gene: rno-miR-126b
Source: miRBase by way of RNAcentral